This 484-nucleotide ribosomal RNA is filed under the name uncultured bacterium. Its description in RNAcentral is "partial 16S ribosomal RNA". It matches the Rfam family "Bacterial small subunit ribosomal RNA", at positions 28 to 507 of the family's 1533-position model. The record is from RNAcentral.
GUUGAACGCUGGCGGCAUGCCUAAUACAUGCAAGUCGAGCGGAUAGAGGGAGCUUGCGCUUGGAUUAAGCGACGGACGGGCGAGUAAUGCAUAGGAAUCUGCCUGGUAUUUGGGGAUAACGUCAGGUCAGGGACGCUAAUAUCACAUAGGUUCAUAUGGUGAAACUGGGGGUUCAUUGGUGCUCAAGGGAUUUGAUGAGACUACGACGUAUUAGCUAGUUGGUGAGGUAAAGGCGUACCAAGGCGACGAUCCGUAACUGCUCUGAGAGGAUGAUCAGUCACACUGGAACUGAGACACGGUCCAGACUCCUACGGGAGGCAGCAGUAGGGAAUAUUGGACAAAGGGCGAAAGCCUGAUCCAGCCAUGCCGCGUGUGUGAAGAAGGUCUUCGGAUUGUAAAGCACUUUUAGUUGGGAGGAAGGGAAGUAAGUUAAACCAUUGCUGUUUUGACGUUACCAACACAAUAAGCCCCGGCUAACUACGUG